CACACACACACACACACACACACACACACACACACACACACACACACACACACACACACCUUUCUAUUUCACUUCAGUUAUCAUAAAAUGUCAAGUGAAAUAGAAUGGUGAACACAGCAAUCAAGUUGGUUCCACUCGGUUAUGCUCUGGACAUUAUAUGCAUCUAAGUAGAAAAUAAGCAACAAAUAACGUCAGUUUCAAUAAAUUAUGUUUCCCAUUUGGGUUAUCAAACGUAUCAAUGUAAUGAGGUGGGUUACCUUCUGCAUUUGUACAAAUGAUGAGCCUGUGAAAGCUGUUGCUGCUGACAGCUGAAUGUUGCUGGCCGGAUACUUGCCAACAUUCAUAGGAAUGCUCACAGCGAGGUCAUGUCUGCAUGAUGCUGAUGACAGGUGAAUGUUGCUGGCCGGAUACUUGCCAACAUUCAUAGGAAUGCUCACAGCGAGGUCAUGUCUGCAUGAUGCUGAUGACAGGUGAAUGUUGCUGGCCGGAUACUUGCCAACAUUCAUAGGAAUGCUCACAGCGAGGUCAUGUCUGCAUGUUGCUGCUGACAGGUGAAUGUUGCUGGCCGGAUACUUGCCAACAUUCAUAGGAAUGCUCACAGCGAGGUCAUGUCUGCAUGAUGCUGAUGACAGGUGAAUGUUGCUGGCCGGAUACUUGCCAACAUUCAUAGGAAUGCUCACAGCGAGGUCAUGUCUGCAUGAUGCUGAUGACAGGUGAAUGUUGCUGGCCGGAUACUUGCCAACAUUCAUAGGAAUGCUCACAGCGAGGUCAUGUCUGCAUGUUGCUGCUGACAGGUGAAUGUUGCUGGCCGGAUACUUGCCAACAUUCAUAGGAAUGCUCACAGCGAGGUCAUGUCUGCAUGAUGCUGAUGACAGGUGAAUGUUGCUGGCCGGAUACUUGCCAACAUUCAUAGGAAUGCUCACAGCGAGGUCAUGUCUGCAUGAUGCUGAUGACAGGUGAAUGUUGCUGGCCGGAUACUUGCCAACAUUCAUAGGAAUGCUCACAGCGAGGUCAUGUCUGCAUGUUGCUGCUGACAGGUGAAUGUUGCUGGCCGGAUACUUGCCAACAUUCAUAGGAAUGCUCACAGCGAGGUCAUGUCUGCAUGAUGCUGAUGACAGGUGAAUGUUGCUGGCCGGAUACUUGCCAACAUUCAUAGGAAUGCUCACAGCGAGGUCAUGUCUGCAUGAUGCUGAUGACAGGUGAAUGUUGCUGGCCGGAUACUUGCCAACAUUCAUAGGAAUGCUCACAGCGAGGUCAUGUCUGCAUGUUGCUGCUGACAGGUGAAUGUUGCUGGCCGGAUACUUGCCAACAUUCAUAGGAAUGCUCACAGCGAGGUCAUGUCUGCAUGAUGCUGAUGACAGGUGAAUGUUGCUGGCCGGAUACUUGCCAACAUUCAUAGGAAUGCUCACAGCGAGGUCAUGUCUGCAUGUUGCUGCUGACAGGUGAAUGUUGCUGGCCGGAUACUUGCCAACAUUCAUAGGAAUGCUCACAGCGAGGUCAUGUCUGCAUGAUGCUGCUGACAGCUGAAUGUUGCUGGCCGGAUACUUGCCAACAUUCAUAGGAAUGCUCACAGCGAGGUCAUGUCUGCAUGAUGCUGCUGACAGCUGAAUGUUGCUGGCCGGAUACUUGCCAACAUUCAUAGGAAUGCUCACAGCGAGGUCAUGUCUGCAUGUUGCUGCUGACAGGUGAAUGUUGCUGGCCGGAUACUUGCCAACAUUCAUAGGAAUGCUCACAGCGAGGUCAUGUCUGCAUGAUGCUGAUGACAGCCCACUUGCUGGACUUUUCGAUGCUGCAUUUUUGGCUGCAAACUAGAUAGCUCUCGAACAACUGCAGCAGGCAAUCUUAUGAGGUGGUGUUGACUGAGAGAGCCUGUGACAGGGUGAUAUAAUUGACUGCCAAGUGGCGAAUUGCAUUUUGUUCUAAAGAAAUGACAAAGCUUUUUGCUCAUGCAACCAAAAUGAAAACUAGCUGUAUUUGUUUGGCUGGGGAAUUAGCUUACUAGUUUAUCA
Molecule: long non-coding RNA, 2009 nt
Organism: Oncorhynchus keta (chum salmon)
Lineage: Eukaryota; Metazoa; Chordata; Actinopteri; Salmoniformes; Salmonidae
Exons: 5
Source: RefSeq, a predicted model, not a curated record